AAUAAGUUUAAAACAAGUGAAAACAAAUUAAGAUAACGUUCAAAUAGAAAAAUUAAAUCAAAUUUAUUUGAUUUGAUUUAAUUUUUUUUUAAUUUGAUUUAAUUUGAGAAAAUUUUAAUUUAUUGGUUCGAUUUGACUUUCUUUCUAAUUAUGUGAUUCAGUUUGAUAUGCUAAAAUUUUGGAUUCAUACCGAACGGAAUCAAACCGACCGAUGCUCA
Molecule: unclassified non-coding RNA, 218 nt
Filed under: Hevea brasiliensis (rubber tree)
Lineage: Eukaryota; Viridiplantae; Streptophyta; Magnoliopsida; Malpighiales; Euphorbiaceae
Source: RNAcentral